GUUCGAAACGUUUUACUUCGUAUCAAUAUGGAUUUUAAAUUGACGCGUCUCGAGUGUAUUGAUUGCUACCCGAUUCAUAUCAAUUUUCUUUUCAACCAUGUCUUUUAACGACAAAUCUUAUUGUCCAUAAUAAAAAAUGUACAAACGAAUGUGAACAAUCGACGUUUGAACAUCUGAGUGGUUUAACAGUGAGAUCAUUGUUUUAAAAUGCCACUUAGAUACACAUUGGUGUUUCUUCUAGCAAUAGUGCUCGGACAAAUAUCUGAUUACACCGAUAAAUUGUUCUUUAAAGUAAACGAUGAAGACUUUGAACAUGUUUCAGGUGUUUUAAGGAAAGAGGAUUAUACAUUUGUGUCACAGAUCAUUUCAGGCAUUUACGUUUUCCAAAAACGAGGGUUAACUGGGAAAUUGUCAGAAGAGGACUUACAGUUGAUCAAGAGCUAUGAUGACAAGAUACAAACGGUUGAGCAAGUCAGGAGAUGGCACAUACAACCUACAUCAGAUGGUCUGACCGGGCAAAAUCUUGGUGUCCAUGACUCGAGGUACGGAAUGGGCAUAGGAGAUGCGUGGAACUUUAGCAUGACUGGAGAGAACGUUACACUAGGGGUGUUAGACGUUGGCGUGGAUAUCACACAUCCCUACCUCCUGGACAAUAUUGCUCAGCAAUUGAGUUGGAACUACGAUUCAAACACUUCUGACGUUUCCCCCGGAUAUCAACGUAGCUAUGGAGAAUUUUUACAGUUGCAAGACCACGGAACCAAUGUAUGCGGUCUCUUGUCAGCGAACAGCAAUGAGAGUGCACCAUGUGCUAAAGGGGUUGCUUUUAAAUCAAAACUAGCCAUAAUAAAAGUUGCUCAUCUGGACGUUAAAGUAGGUAUCCUCGCUGACGACGACAAUAUUGCUGGAGGAUUAGCACAUAGAACAGAUACCAUCUCAGUAUACGUGAACGCAUUUACUUACAGGAACACUUUUCGAAACCUCAACUUCGCCACCGAAGUUGUGUUGGAACAGGGCACACGCAUUGGAAGACAAGGCAAAGGAUCGAUGUUUGUUUUUCCGUCAGCGAAAAUCGGAGGUGGACUUGAAAACAAAAUACACACUAUCGUCGUCAGUGGUGUUAAUCCAAAUGGAAGUGUUCCGGCGUCCGUUGCUAGCAAUGCUGCUGUCCUUACUUCAGCGCUUGCUUACAGUUUUUCUUUGAUGUCUGCAGGAAUGAGUACCACAGCAGGCAUUUAUUCAGAUAGAAAAUGUACGGACAAAUUCGGGGGAACCUCAGCAUCAACAGCUUUUCUGUCCGGUAUACUGGCACUUGUACUCCAAGCUAACCCAGGUCUUUCUUGGCGUGAUGUUAUGCAUAUCAUAGUACAGUCAUCCGAACACGAGUCACUGAAGAGUGAAUCUUCCAACUUCACACCGAACGCAGCAGGCAAAUAUUUUCACGCCAUGUUUGGCUUUGGCUUAAUAAAUGCUGAAAAAGCUGUAUCACUGGCAAGAACGUGGACCCCUGUCGGAAAUAUGUUCGCUGUUACAGGAACGCAUCUGUCUCAAAGAAGUUGUAGACCACUCGUUGAUUAUGUUACAUCGCAUCCCUGCUGGCUCCUGAAAUACAUCGUCACAAAUCAACUUGUACGGUACAACACAUCGGAACAACACAGUAACGAUACAUUUCGACGCGUCUCUUCUAAAAUUUGCAAUGAUAUGUCUUGUUCGUUCGGAUUCGAAAUCAAGUGCGCACAUUAUUGCUCAUGUGCAUCCACGGUUGAGCAAGUUCAGGUCUCCAUCACUUGUCACACGUCGAAUCCCAAAACGACAAGUGUGUACAUUACUUCGCCAAGCGGUACCAAGUCAAUUCUUGUACAAGAAGGCCAAAUCAGCACAAAGGACAUCGUAACGGAUGUCUUAAUGAGGUCCGUGAAUUUCUGGGGUGAAAAUGCAACAGGUCUUUGGAUUAUCAACAUCAGCAUCACAGAUGGGACGAUAUUCAACGCAAAUGUUUCCUCAAUCAUUAUUUCUGGAACAAACGCAAUUGCAUCGGGUGACAUGCCCUGUGAAGAACUACACAAAUCUAUGACGGCCUCACCGCCUGGACAAGCCACAGUUUCGGAGGAUCUCAUGGAUUCGAAUGCUAAAACACCAAAGCCACGGGAAAAGUCUGCACUUGAAGCAACGAUAGCGGUGCUCUUCCUUGUUUGUAUCUUAAUCGGGUCGAUUAUAUUUUUCUACCUAAACGCAGAUCAUGCUCCAGUUAUUCCGUAAAAUAAUAUUCUGCCGUUAAAAAAUCUCGAAUACCGAUAAUUGGUAAGGGUGUCACAAUACGCUCACCUUACGAUACGAUACGUAUCGCGGUACAGUGUGUACGAUACAAUACGUAUCGCGAUACGUAUCGUCAGAUGGAAACAACAUACAAACCAUUUAAAACCAUUUUUCAAUUUCAUUUAAAGACCUCUACAUAUACCAUACGUCAUACAAUAUACAAAAUACCAUAUUAUGUCAUGAAAGUACACGAAAUGACAAUUAGUAAUUAUUAUUUACAAAUCUAAAACUUUGAUUAAAUAUGAACACGAAAUUAUGAAUAUGUUUACAAAAUACGGACUGCUUUAUGUUUCUUUUACUUCGAUAGAUUAUUUAAGUUAAAAAUAAAACGUGGUUACCAACUAGUCAAAUUGGCUAUCUUUGCUUGUGUCCUGGCUAUAUUUGCUUGUGCCGUAAAACUCCAAGCGCAAUUCGUAGAACAAGUUAAAUAUUGCACCUUGUUUCGUGACGUAGGCGACACAGCACAUGUUUGAGUGGUUGAAAUUUAAUUUUAAUGGUUUCAAAGAUUUAGCGAAGUUCUCAGCGGAAUCACAAAAUUACAGCUCCUGCUUAGGAAAUUCGUAGCGACUAAAGUCGUGAUAUAAAGCAAAUGUUUAUACGAAAUAAGCGCCUACCACUUUCUUACUGAUAACACAAAAUGCUUCCAUAUCUUUAAUUAAAAGCUCGCUGAAGGUGAUUUCAAUUCAACUUCCGCCAUUUUUGGGCGAAUUACAGUUACUUCCCUUAAAAUGCGUCAUGGAAAAUGCCGUACCGUACCGUACCGUACGGACUCAGAGGCGUAUCGUGAACCGUACCGAGGGGAGACUAUUACGAUAUACCGUCCCACGGAGUACCGUGACACCCUUAAAAAUUCGACAGUCGUAACUGUAUGAAAAGUGUAACCGCUACUUGAUGUUGUAUUUUUACUUGUGUUAAAUUUGCUUCAACUCGUUUAUAUAUUUCUAUUCAAUUAUGCAGGUGAUAUAUAUCUGUGAUUACAUUGUUUUCUUGUCUUUUUUUUGCAAACGUUUGUAGCUGAUUGUUAUCUGUGAUACGAUUGUAUUCAUGUCUUUAACUAUAUGUUAUGUUUACUAAUUUUUAUUGUCUAUAGUAAGUUUAAACUUGUAAUGCGCCUCAUCCCUUUCUGUAUCUUGUUUACUGUUAUAGUGUUGUUGUUGCUGCUUUAAUUCAAUGAAUAAGCAGUUGUAUGAAAGAACAAUGUUUAAAAUUUUAACACAAUGAUUAUGGUAUUAGUAAAUGUACAGCCAUCGAACAAUCAUUGAAUGAGCAAAUCAUAAGUCAGUAUUAGCCUACAGUCAUGACACGAUAUCGUUAGCACCGACAAAUACUGUCAUGAACUGUAGGAAUAAUAAGAACACUUAAUUCUUUAUUGUGCAACAAUUGCUUUAAUUGAAUUUUUAUGUUUUUCAAUAUAUUUCAUUUCCGUUUAAUUCUUUUUUAUUCAUCUAGCUGAUCUUAUUUACCUUAAAACUUAGUUUUGGCUGUUUAAAGGGGCCUUUUGACAUAUUUUGGCAUGUAUUGAAGUAUGUCAAUAAAUGCUUUAUACAUGUUGUAUUAAUAAAUGUAAACAUUGAAUCUAAAAAACUCAAGUAAAAAACAAGAAUAAAAUAAAAGCUAGGAAAAGUAACCCUCAACUGGGCUCGACCCACUGACCCCUGGAGUAAAAGUCUAUCGCUUAGACCAGUGGGCCAUCCGUGCUCAUGACAUGGGUGAUGUAUUUUAUGCUUUAUAUCAGCAAUCCUCUUAGUAUCCCAAAAUAUAACGAACACAACAGAACUCUCCAAAUUAUUCAAUCGUUUCGAUUCGUAACUCUUUAUAAUUUUCCGGUUUUUAAAUCGUCAAAAGAUUCAUAUAAGGAUAUUUCAGAGCAUGGUAAAUGUUCAGUAUUACUGUUUCCUCACUAAUAUCAUUACUACAACGAAAAUUUGCGAAUCUGAAAACUUUUUUUUUAAUUGUGUCAAUUUACCUAAACGUGAAAAGGCCCCUUUAAAAAAUGAUAUGCCCGUGCAUUUGAUUUUUUAAGAAACUUUAUAUUCGAUACGUUGACAUACAUUUGUUGUUGUUGUUUAAGUGUCGUUGCUUUUCUGUCGUUUGAACCAUUUGCAUAGUUUUCAGUAAUAUAGCGGUGGUCAGAUCACCAUCUUGAAAGGUUCGGGGGAAUAUUAAACAUUUAUAUUUAAGUUUACGACUUCUCCCGGUAGUACACAUACUUAUCCAAAAACUACCAACAGUUGUCCUUCUUGACUUAGAUGUAGGGCUCUCUCUUACCAACAGGAUCAUGACCAAGCCCAUCACAAGCAUGGCCGGGCUGGGAAUCAAACCCACAAACCCAGUAUUGACAGUCAAGGAUUUAAUCAAAAGCUUCAAAGGACGGUCAUGUUUUCCAAAUGAUCGGGAAAAAAAUCUAAAUAUUAUGCCUUUAAAACUUCAACGUGAAAUUAAUAUUCAUUAACUACUGGCGAGUGGUUGCUUCGUAAAUGUUUGUUGUGAAUAACUCGAUUAUCUAGAAUUAUUAAAACUCUAUUCAUAAUUAACAAUACAAUAUAAAAUUUCCAUCGACGAGAUUCGAACCACGGUCCCCUUUAAGCAAACUCUCAAGCGAUACCAAGCAGCCAUUUAUGAGUAAGAACUUUGGAGAGUAUGUUGACACUUAGUUUGUGGCAGACGUGUUUUCAAAUAAUCGAUGAACAGCGCUCAAAACGCUUGCUAAUUUUAUCCAUUAUGACUGCUGGUUAUCUAUUUACGAAACGAUAAAUAAGGAAUCGUUGGCCAAUAAAAUUAUUUUACACUUUGUUUCUAGAAUCUUUGACACAUUAUUAAAAAAUCAAACAUUUUGCUAAUCUAGCUAAUUACUGUUGUGUUAAUACAUACUUUAAUAAUACGCACACUUGCUACUGUAAAGUGAUAGUUCUAAAACCUUGGAACGUUCAAAAUGUGAAUUCCUAUCUGAAAGGCUUUGCUAUGUAAACUUAUGAAAUGAUAUAGUUUCACUCAAGUAAAAACUUUGGUAACUGAUUUUUGCCAUAGUGUACUGAGUGUUCUGCGGGCUUAAAGAAGGUCGUCAACAUGCCAGCAUGUUAGAACGACAAAUAAUACCCAGCAGAAAAACAAAAAGGCCGACGAUACGACAGUUAUGAUAUGUUUCGCAUUUCGAACCCGCAAAAACGCCAACACAAGAAAGACACAAACAUACUCACCAAAACGACCAAAACGGCGCCCAUAUGACAAUUUAUGAGUUUGUGAUCCUUUUUGUCGUUUUGGCUUUCUUUCGUUUUGGUGUGUUAAUCACCUUCUCUAAACCCGCCGUAAAUUAAGAACUAAUAUUGAAAUCUGCGAGAAUAAAAAGUGAAUAGUG
Molecule: RNA transcript, 5668 nt
Organism: Dreissena polymorpha
Lineage: Eukaryota; Metazoa; Mollusca; Bivalvia; Myida; Dreissenidae
Gene name: furin-like protease kpc-1
Exons: 15
Source: RefSeq, a predicted model, not a curated record